GCAAGUCGAGCGAACGGACGAGAAGCUUGCUUCUCUGAUGUUAGCGGCGGACGGGUGAGUAACACGUGGAUAACCUACCUAUAAGACUGGGAUAACUUCGGGAAACCGGAGCUAAUACCGGAUAAUAUUUUGAACCGCAUGGUUCAAAAGUGAAAGACGGUCUUGCUGUCACUUAUAGAUGGAUCCGCGCUGCAUUAGCUAGUUGGUAAGGUAACGGCUUACCAAGGCAACGAUGCAUAGCCGACCUGAGAGGGUGAUCGGCCACACUGGAACUGAGACACGGUCCAGACUCCUACGGGAGGCAGCAGUAGGGAAUCUUCCGCAAUGGGCGAAAGCCUGACGGAGCAACGCCGCGUGAGUGAUGAAGGUCUUCGGAUCGUAAAACUCUGUUAUUAGGGAAGAACAUAUGUGUAAGUAACUGUGCACAUCUUGACGGUACCUAAUCAGAAAGCCACGGCUAACUACGUGCCAGCAGCCGCGGUAAUACGUAGGUGGCAAGCGUUAUCCGGAAUUAUUGGGCGUAAAGCGCGCGUAGGCGGUUUUUUAAGUCUGAUGUGAAAGCCCACGGCUCAACCGUGGAGGGUCAUUGGAAACUGGAAAACUUGAGUGCAGAAGAGGAAAGUGGAAUUCCAUGUGUAGCGGUGAAAUGCGCAGAGAUAUGGAGGAACACCAGUGGCGAAGGCGACUUUCUGGUCUGUAACUGACGCUGAUGUGCGAAAGCGUGGGGAUCAAACAGGAUUAGAUACCCUGGUAGUCCACGCCGUAAACGAUGAGUGCUAAGUGUUAGGGGGUUUCCGCCCCUUAGUGCUGCAGCUAACGCAUUAAGCACUCCGCCUGGGGAGUACGACCGCAAGGUUGAAACUCAAAGGAA
Molecule: ribosomal RNA, 871 nt
Filed under: Staphylococcus aureus
Lineage: Bacteria; Bacillati; Bacillota; Bacilli; Caryophanales; Staphylococcaceae
Description: bacterial SSU rRNA
Rfam family: Bacterial small subunit ribosomal RNA
Source: RNAcentral